Long non-coding RNA from Bombyx mori (domestic silkworm), 757 nucleotides. RefSeq lists it as uncharacterized. The transcript is spliced from 2 exons. The record is from RefSeq and is a predicted model, not a curated record. NCBI's taxonomy places the organism in Eukaryota, Metazoa, Arthropoda, Insecta, Lepidoptera, Bombycidae.
UCCUGCUUGAUAUGCGCCUUUUCUACAAACACAAAAUGUAUAACGUCAGUACGUGGAGACAUCGCGGCCUGUCUGGUGGACUGCCCGACACAUGAGGUGACGUAAUAAGAAAAACUGGCAGCAGCAUUGAGUGUACGAAACAAAGUCGUAUGAUACUCACGGGCAGCCUACAUGAAGUAAUCUGGCGUCCGCCGCGUGACGUGCGGCUCGCCGCGGCGCGGGGCGGGGUCGAACUGCAGGCUGUGGACAAACAUCAUACACUACUAUAAUAUCUCCAACGGUGAUAUAAACUCUAUUGUUAUGCAGAUAAAGGUCAUAAACUUUAAGUAUCCACUGUACUGAGGCACCUAUAGUGCACGUCUAAAAAUCGAUCGUUACUCGAUUUUUAUUUGUCAUCACUUUGCGCUGAUAAUCAUUCCAAUUAAACAGUAAAUGUGUGUAGUUUGAAAAAUGAAAAAAAUGUAUAGGCUAUAAUCGUAAAACUAAACUCAAAAAUAAAAUAUUGUAAUAUUUUUACUCUGGUGGUCUCCAAAUUUUAGGAAAAAUUGUCAACUUAUUAUAUUGUAUUGACAUAAGUUCUUGUUAUGUGUGCAAAUUUUAAAGUAAAUCUUAUGUGUAAUAAACGUUAUAUAAAUAAACAUAGCACAGAUAUAGAUAGAUUCAGGUCAAGCUGAUAAAAGUGCGUUCAAAACCCAGGAAAGAUUACAUGGAAGUCAUAUUGUGUAAUUUUUAUUUUAUAAAAUUUUUGUUUUUUGAA